RNAcentral lists this ribosomal RNA (253 nucleotides) under uncultured bacterium. Its description in RNAcentral is "partial 16S ribosomal RNA". It matches the Rfam family "Bacterial small subunit ribosomal RNA", at positions 524 to 776 of the family's 1533-position model. The record is from RNAcentral.
GACGAACCAUCCAAACGUUAUUCGGAAUUACUGGGCUUAAAGGGUGCGUAGGCUGCGCAGAAAGUUGGGUGUGAAAUACCUCGGCUCAACCGAGGAACUGCGCCCAAAACUACUGUGCUCGAGGGAGAUAGAGGUAAGCGGAACUGAGGGUGGAGCGGUGAAAUGCGUUGAUAUCCUCAGGAACACCGGUGGCGAAAGCGGCUUACUGGAUCUCCUCUGACGCUGAGGCACGAAAGCUAGGGUAGCGAACGGG